CCAGAAACAUUCUCAGAGAGCUGUGGUUUUCUCUUGUGUGCUGGUGUUGGUUAAGUCUUCUUAAUAAUACACACACACUCUCACACAUACAAGUGUAUACACAUACACAUACAUACAUUUAUUUCUCUUUUCUUCCAAGUCCCCACUGAACUCCAGCAUGCCUGAGAAAAUAUAAAUCAGAAUUUAUCAUGUUUUGCUGCUUUCCCCCGGGGUGGUAGGGUCAUAUAUAUAUUGCUAGAAAUGAUCCACCCACUCGUUGCUCUCAGGGUCCUUAUAGAACUGAACACCUGACCCUAAACAAUGGAGGGAAAGAUUCAAGGGACUGCAUUGCAAGGAAUGGAAUUUUAAACAGAUUCUCAGUAUCGGCUUGUAGAAUGACGCUAGUUCCUGAGCAUGUCCUGUCUGAAAGAAUGGUCACUGGCGCAUGCAAGCAAGCCAUGUCACAUUUUCUUAAUACUGACACAGCCUCCAGGGCAGGAAACAAGCCCCACGCAGGGAGUCUCCACACCAGCUGAGCCCUGGCUGCACCCCUCACUAUCUGAGAGUAUAGGAAGGCCCCCUUACCUUUCUGGAGUCCCUCGUUUUCUCUGUGAAAUGCAGCAGUAAUACUUGUUACUGUGACCCCCUCCCCACAGCAUCCUGAGGGUCACCAGCACAGACAGUAGGCAAGUGCUUUUUGCCCCAAUGGAGAGCUGUACAAAUGUGAUGUGCCAUCAUGAGCACAGGGCAGUACCGAGGAUGGCUGGGAUGGCCAAUGAUGUCUGCAAGAGUGGGGUCCUGCAAGGAACCUUUGGUUCAAACAGGACUCUCAAAAAUCUGGUUUUCUCAUGAAUGUCCUUAUUUUAUUGGUCCUACACAUUCCACAGCCCUAUAAUCCGAACAUCUAAUCCUCCUAAGUUUUAAAACUGCCCAGGGAUCCAGAUACACCAGAUAGAGUGGUAGAGGUGAAGAAGCCAAAUAUAGAGACCAAGUGUUUAAUCCACCGGAACAAUGUUUUAGGCACAGAAACAGGUUAAUGUGCUAAAAUGGCAAUGACAAGAGGCAGAGAGAUGUGGGCUUAACAUAAAGUGGGCUUCACAAAGCUCUUUAUAAGUGUAGAACUCAAUUUUAGGGAAGAAGGGGUUAUCAGCUUUUGACAAAUCCAUGUCAGUAAUGCCUACUGCAGAUCCUCAUAUACCUUGGAUAUUUGGGUGGGAUGGGGUGGGGAGAAGAGCUGUGUGCAUGUACAUACACAUUUUGGAAAAAUGUCCCAGGUAAUUGUUAUAUUGUCUCUCUCUCCUCCAUCCCUCCAUGGUUGAGAACUCCUGCUUGAAAUCAUGAGCUCCACAUUAUUUGCAAUAGCCAAACUAUGGAAGCAGCCCAAGUGUCCAUCCAUAGAUGAAUGAAUAAAGAUGUGAAUAUUAUUCAGCCAUAAAAAAAGAAUGAAAUCUUGCCCUGAAUAGAGGUAGAGAGUAUAAUGCUGUGCAAAAUAAGUCAGAGAAAGACAAAUACCAUAUGAUCUUACUCACAUGUACAGUUUAAGAAACAAAACAAAUCAGCAAAGGAAAGAAAGCGAGACAAACCAGACUCUUAACUGUAGAGAACAAACUGGUGGUUACCAGAGGAGAGAUGGGUGAGGGGAUGGGGGACUAGAGUACACUUUGUUGAAAAAUUGAAAAAUAAAAUAAAGUAAAAUUAUAAAAAAAUAAAAUCAUAUACUCCAGAUAGACAUUCACUGAACCAAGCUUGUGGCUUAUUUAACCUCCAAUUCAACUCAUGAGCACCAAACAUCUUCCUUUCUGCAGAGCUGACUUUCUCACAUGGUUUGUAUCUAUGAAUUAUAAUGACAGUGAUAACAAAAUGAAUACCUUCUACAUGUACAACAAUGCCUCACAAUCUGCAAGGCCCCUUCCCAUCUAACUAUUUCAUUUGAUCCUCUCAACCUUAUCUCCAUCCGACAGAAAGGAGCUUGUGGCUCAGAGAAGUGAAGCGACUUGCCUAAAGUCACACAGCUAAGAAAAGACUUGAGUUAAAUGCAGGUUUCCCAGAUCUUUAUUAUACACAGUUCUCUCCACUCCUGCCACACAAAUAAAAAUAACUAUUGGGGCUGUUAUUCAACCUUUUGUCUGUUUUAAAUACUCCUAGUAACUGCAGUCAAUACCAAGCUAAGCAUUUUAUAUAUAGUAUACAGCUUCAUAGUAGGUAUUACGGCCCCAUUUUACAGCUAAAGACACUGAACCUCAGGAGGGAAGAGACUAACCCGAAAAUGCAGUUGUCUUAGGCAUCUUCUCAUCCCAGAUUCCCGCUCCGUGUGUCUGCACCAUGGAUCUGCUUUGUGACCCCACAGUACUCUCAUGCUGUGUUGGCAGCAGCUGUUCAGACACGUCUUCUCUCCGUGACACUGUAGUCUCUCCAAAUGCAAGGCGAUAUCUUAAUCCCAAGGCCCUCCAUACCAGUCCCAGGGCUCACACGUACUACAUGUGUGCAUAAAUAUCAUGGAGCACAGAGAAUACACCCAGGACUGGAUUUUGAACCCAUAUCUCUCUGACCUCUGAAUGCUUUAUUUGGUUCUAUCAAAAAAUGGCCCACAAACAGGUCCGGAAAAACCCAGGUUCUGUUCAGAGAAAACUGUUCUUCUUUCUGAAGUGACUCUAGCCAUUUCUCUGGCCAGAACUAAAGGUGUAAUUGGCUUUUGAACAAAGAAUGCCAACCCUGUCCCCAAAGCCCACAGUGCCUGGGUGAGACUAGAGCUAGCUAGGCAUAAUUAGCAAUUUUUUCCUCUAGUCUCUGCAUUAGAAAGAUGAAGUUCCAAUUAUAAAUGUCCUAAGAAAAUUGCUACUCAAAUGCACAGAGUGAUUUUCAAGGCAUUGACACCUCCCUGGUUUGCUUGCUUAUUAGAUACAGGGCUUGAGGUGGAUGGAGGAGUAUUUAACAGCUAGUUUUCAGGCCAAUGAAUCUGAAGAAAUUCUCUUUAUUGGUCUGCAAGAGGAGGUGGGGAUGGGGGAAGCAGAACCAGAUCUGAUAAAGGAGAUUAAAUGGCCUUAUACAUCUGACAGCAAAGAACAGUCCCCAUGGGAAUCCCAAAUCCUGCUGGUGCUAAUAAAGUGCACGAUAUUACUCCGGUAAUAUAGUGUACAAUAUAAGGCGUCCAGAUGCCGGGGCCAGAGCCACGACCUACAUCUUCCGCAAACCAAUUUUCUGCUGGGUUGGAUGUGUAAAAAAGAAUCCAAAUACAGAUUUUUUUUUCGUUGAAAGAAUUGCUUCUCUGGCUUUUUUACCUUGGCCUGUCUGCUCCUCCCACCCCCUGCGUUCUCAAAGUGGGAAUUACUUCUAAUCCACUCACAGGAGAAAUCACUGCUUCACUCAACUGUGGGCUAUUACAGGACAAUUGGGCUGCUUGUGGGCCUCCCAGUAGCAGUGGGGUACAGGGGAACAAACGUAGAAUUUGCAAUCACAUGAACUAGGCUCAAUUCCUUAUUUUCCUAUUUAUAUGUCUCCUUGAGCAAAUUUCCCUUGCUUCUCUAAGCCUGAAUUCCACAUCUCCCUCACAGAAAUGCUCUGAGCGCUAAAGGUACUGCAUAUGAAGUGUUUGGCACAAGUGCUAUAACAUAGGAUGAGUUUCAUUGACAAUAACAAUUAUUAGCAGUAGUACCAGCAGCUUCCAUUUGUAAAACUUAAAGGUAUCCUCUUAGGGGGAGGGCAUUUUUUUGGCAAGGAGUUUGGGGUGGGGGGGUAGAAGCAUGGAAGCUUCUUAAAAAAGAUGAACAGCAACAGUGCUUUAUUUGUUGAUGACCAGCUCCUGAGCAUCUGCCGAAUGUGAUGUUAUAAGCAUUGUUACGAGCACCAAGAAAAUGCAGAUGGUAGUCACUCCUUUUCCAAAACCUUGCAGACUGCUGAGGAGACUGCAAAAUGUCAUAGCACGUGCUGCAUGCUACUCUGUCCCUAGCAACUGAAUGUCAGUCAUCUCAUUUGACAAUCUCAGGAACUUCACAAAGUGGGCAAGACAUGCAUGGUUCAUCCCCACUUCAUAGGUAAAAAAACUGACGCUCAGAGAGAUGAAGUGGAUUGACUAAAUUCAGAGACAAAGUAGAGCCAGCAUUGGGCAGGCCUUCUAAAUGCUCGUCUCUAGUUCUUGGGUUUUAACCACUGUGGAAUGGCCCUGGCUUGGCCUGUGAUUGAAACGCCAGCUCCGGCCAUCUCAGAAUUCAUGGCAUUUCCAAUGACUACAAUCAUUCUGUUCAAAAAAUGUUGGGGAUUUCUCAGAGCCAGCCCAGUGUGGCAUAUGAGAGAUGCUAUACUAAUGUUGCUUGGCUGAUUAUAAUAAGGUAAUAGGGAUCCCUGGGUGGCGCAGCGAUUUGGCGCCUGCCUUUGGCUCAGGGCACGAUCCUGGAGACCCGGGCCAGGGAUCCCCCCAAAUGCUUUCUAAGGACUAUUUCAUAUCAUCCUUAGGAGGAAGGCUAUAUCAUUAGCCUUAUUUUACAAACAGAUUUAGAGAGGUUACUUGCUCUGGGCACAGGUGGUAGAAUUUGGAUUUGAACUCCAGCAGUCCCACAGGCACUAAUGACCUCACCCUUGUUUAAUCCCUGGCACAAUCCUACCAGUGUCUUCUGGAGAAGCCCAAUGUUCACCGACAUUAUUUAAUGACUGCCACUGGGAUCCCUGGGUGGCGCAGUGGUUUGGCGCCUGCCUUUGGCCUAGGGCGCGAUCCUGGAGACCCGGGAUCGAAUCUCACAUCAGGCUCCUGGUGCAUGGAGCCUGCUUCUCUCUCUGCCUCUCUCUCUCUCUCUCUCUCUCUCUCUUUGACUAUCAUAAAUAAAUAAAAAUUAAAAAAAUAAAAUAAAAUAAAUGACUGCCACUAACUGCCAGACAUAGCCUUCGAAGCAAUUUAUAUUGACUCAUUUAAUCCUCAUAAACAUUUCAUAAGAUAGACAUUGCUACCCCAUUUUAAAGAGGAGGAAAACUGUGGCUGAGAAAUGUUGACUGUUUGCCUAAGAUUGCAGAGCCUGCUAAACGCAGAGGCAUUUUCAAACACAGAAAUAUCUGGGGAAAAGGUUCAUUCUUCCUUCAAAAACUCUGGAACCUCCUAAAAGGAGGCAAUCUGAAAUACACAAAAGAAAAAGAGACAAAGAAGGCAACUGGAGGCAACAGAACCAAAGGCCUACAGGGUUCUAACUGCACAGCUUUCCAAAAUCAGGGAGUGUAAAAUUUGCAAAAGACUGGAUUAGUCUGGAAAGGCCCAGUUGAGGAAGCAAACCUCUAAGGCUUUGAAGACUGGAAGAGAUUUGGAUGGCCUAGGUAUUCCACAUAUUCCAGAAAAGCACACUCAUAAUUCAAGUGGAGUCUACAAACAGAUCCAGGUAGCAAAGGGGAACCAUGGUCAAUCUGCAAAUGGUGGAGGCCUCCCUUGCAGAAUUAAAGCUUGUGUCCAGGACUGUCUUUAAGCCCCAUGCCCAUAGCACAUUGAGAUCUCUUUGUUCUCCUUUAGCAUGCAGUCCACCAGGAGCCAGAGUAACAAUGGAAAAAGUCAGAGAGGAAAUAAACCAUGAAGGAAAAAAUAACAUACACAUCUCAUGUGGGGUCUUCUGGGAAUGAAGGAGCAGGACAUGGAGGGAGGGAAUUCAAGCCCCCCUCAGAUCUUCUUUUGCUCAUUUCUCCUCCUUUCUUUCCCCUUCCCUCCACAGUAUUCUGCAUGCAGUAGCAAAUGUAUGAAUGCUUGGAUGGCUUGGCAAAACACUCUCCAAGAUUUAUUUCUGUUGGACAAUCUUGCAUUCUUUUUUUUCCCCCUGCUGACAACUCUGUCAACAGCAGGCUCCUCUGCGAGGCUGUGAAUUUGGAAAUCACAUUCUUGAUUUAGACAUUGUUGCUUAAAAAUCAGACCAAGAAAGCAGACUUCUGAGAUCAGGGUGACCUGCAGAACUACUUGGUUCAUUACCUGGGAGUCAGUGAGACCCUGGAGCUUGGUAAAGAUACUAUCCAGAGUGGGGUAUGGGGCAGCAGUCCUGGACAAGUGGUCAGUUCAAGGCAAAGAGGUAGUUCCAGUAGUUCAAAAACUAGAUCUUUUUGGAUGAGAUCUAGUAGUAGUCUUAAAUUAAUUUGAAACUCCAGUGCUGAUAAGCCACUAGGUAGCAGGGUACUAGAUAAUGUGAAAAAUGUUUCAUCAAGUGCUAAUGGGAAUGCAAACUGGUGCAGCCUCUCUGGAAAAUAAUAUGGAGGCUCCUCAAAAAGUUAAAAAUAGAGUUAUCCCAUGACCCAGCAAUUGCAACACUGGAUAUUUACCCCAAAGAUACAAAUAUAGUGAUCCGAAGGGGCACCUGCACACCAGUAUUUAUGGCAGCAAUGUCCACAAUAACCAAACUUGUAAAGAACCCAGAUUUCCAUUGACAAAUGAGUGGAUAAAAAAGAUGUGACAUAUAUGUUCCAUUACAUAUAUAUUAUAUAUUAUAUAUUACAUAUAUAUAUAUGUAUAUUCCAUUAUUAAAAAUGGAAUCUUGCCAUUUACAAUGACAUGGAUGGAACAGAGGAUAUCAUGGUGAGUGAAAUAAGUCAAACAGAGAAAGACAAUUAUGUGAUCUCACUCAUAGAUAGAAUUUAAGUAACAAAACAGAGGAUUGUAGGGGAAGAAAGGAAAAAAUAAAACAAGAUGAAAUCAGAGAGAGAGAUAAACCAUAAGAGACUCUUAAUCAUAGGAAACAAACUGAGGGUCACUGGAGAGGUAUAGGGGGCUGGGGUAACUGGGUGAUAGACAUUAAAGGGGCACAUGAUGGAAUGAACACUGGGUGUGAUAUAAGACUGAUAAAUCACUGACCUCUACCUCUGAAACCAAUAAUACAUUAUAUGUUAAUUAGUUUAAUCUGAAUAAAUAAAAUUUAAAUAUAUAUGCAUACACACAUAUACACACAUAUAUACACAUACACACGUAUAUGCACAUACACACAUAUAUACACAUAUGCAUACACACAUACACACAUACACAUAGAGAAAGAGAGAAAGGCCUUCCCUAUGAAAGGAAGUUAGGUCUAAAUUGCAAAGGAUGAACACAGCCAGGCAAAGAUGCAGAGAUCAGGGUGGAAAGGGGUUAUGGGGCAUACUAAGUGCAGGAUGAACAAAGGCAUAGCCUCCAAGAUCUCCAUUUUACAGAUGUGAAAACGGAGGCUCAGAGAGAUAAGUAAUCUACUCAAAUUACCCAGGCAGUCAGUGCUACAACUAGAAUUUGCUCCAAAGUUUGCUUUUAACCACUUCACUAUACUGUUUACAUAUUAAACAUGGAAUACAAUACCUUCAACAGGGUCAGUAACUUACUCACAAGCACACAGACAGUUGGUGGCACACUUGAGAUUAGAGCCCAGGUCUUCCUCUUCCGGAUCCAGUGCUCAUUCCAGGGCUAUGUUGCCUCUAUACAUCUCCCAGCCUUGCUGAGUCCCAAAUUCCCCACCACAUCCUUGCUCCUGGAUCCUUUCCAUGGCUCCCUCACUGUGGAAAUUCAGUCAUCAAGACGGAUGC
RNAcentral lists this long non-coding RNA (7479 nucleotides) under Canis lupus familiaris (dog). RNAcentral's name for it is "lncRNA (ENSCAFG00000058950.1)". The record is from RNAcentral. Lineage: Eukaryota; Metazoa; Chordata; Mammalia; Carnivora; Canidae.